Molecule: unclassified non-coding RNA, 307 nt
Filed under: Hevea brasiliensis (rubber tree)
Lineage: Eukaryota; Viridiplantae; Streptophyta; Magnoliopsida; Malpighiales; Euphorbiaceae
Source: RNAcentral
AAUAUUGUGUUUAUAGGUUCAAUAUAAGGAUGCAAUUAUGUUUUCUAUUGAUCGCAAGGGAUUUUAUGUGCUGGGGAAGGUUCGUAGUCCAGUCAUAAAGGAUGGCCAAAGUGAAUACCAGUGGAAGGAAUUCAGGUUUACAUUCAAGGAAGAGGCAAGUGAUAUUGAAACUUUUUGUCAUCAACUUGUAGAAAUGGAGGAGGAAGCUGUGAAGAAGGUUUCAAGCUACAGCGGUUUAACAUGAGAGUAUAUGCAACCAGUGGAAAGAUUCAGUUCACUUUUAAGAAACAAGCUAGUUAUGAUCCUG